Mytilus trossulus (common blue mussel) is the source of this 542-nucleotide long non-coding RNA. RefSeq lists it as uncharacterized. The transcript is spliced from 3 exons. The record is from RefSeq and is a predicted model, not a curated record. Lineage: Eukaryota; Metazoa; Mollusca; Bivalvia; Mytilida; Mytilidae.
UCUGUUCCGCAAUAGCAAAUCCGGGGGUAGUUCCGUAUACGUUCCGAAAUUAGUAUUCCGGUAUAACUUCCGGGGCGUUCAACAUCAUCAGCAGCUAAGAUGAACGCAGCAUCCUCCACUAUGUUCACGAAGAAAAAAAGCACUGGAAAGAAAUAUUGUUGUGUCCCAGGAUGCAGUCAUACAUCUGACAAGAUAGGACCAGAUGGAACAAAAUUUAUACUUCACCGUAUUCCCAUGUCAGAAAAAAAAGCCCAUAUUAAAAAACUGUGGAUUCAGAGACUUAAAAAUUACUACUUAAACAUGGAGCAGAUAAGCUGAAUUAUUGGGAAGGAGAAUCCCGAUCCAUGGGUGAAAAAUCCUACCAACAAGAAGGAAAUUUAAAACCAGGAAGAAAGCGCUUUUUAAGACCAAUUGAUGAAUUCUUUAUGGUUAUGAUGCGAUUGCGACUAGGACUUCUGCAGGAACAUUUAGCUGAUAUUUUUAGAGUGUCUGAAUCCACUGUUUCUCGUAUAAUGAACACUUGGAUUAACUUUCUAUUUGAU